CUUACGAGUCGAGAUCGCCGAAUGAACGUGCUCAGUGAUCCCAGAGAUCAAUGCUCACCGAACACACAUAUACUGAAUAUUAAGAGUCUUACAUCCAUACAUACCGUUUGAUACAAUAAAUGACCUUAUCGGUCAAGUCUUACAUAUAUAGGGCCUUGAGGGCCAACACACCCAAACUGGACCAAUAGCGGAAUUAUUG
Molecule: long non-coding RNA, 199 nt
Filed under: Hordeum vulgare
Lineage: Eukaryota; Viridiplantae; Streptophyta; Magnoliopsida; Poales; Poaceae
Description: long non-coding RNA (HVUL_LNC007026)
Source: RNAcentral